RNAcentral lists this long non-coding RNA (13414 nucleotides) under Zea mays. Its description in RNAcentral is "long non-coding RNA (ZMAY_LNC000223)". Lineage: Eukaryota; Viridiplantae; Streptophyta; Magnoliopsida; Poales; Poaceae. The record is from RNAcentral.
ACUUAAACAAACAUAGUUUAACAUUAUCAGUUAUACAUUAUGUUACAAAUAUAUGAACUAUAAACAAGGCACUAGAUGAUUACAGUUGUUGUCACACCCGGCUUUAAAGGACAAAGCUGGAUGCAUCUCAUACAUGCGUCAAAGAAGACAACAUAUAUAAUAACAAAGUAUAUAAAGAUAAAUGUCAUAAUAAUCAGAGUAUUUAUUACAUAGCGGAAGUCUUACAAAAUAGAAGAUAAAUAUAAAAGAAUCUAAAAUCUAUCCUUGGCGCCAGAAAGUCAACUCGAAGACGCCACCUAUAUCAAAUCACACUCCUCGAUAAGUGACUCCUCUUGAACCUCAUAUUCUUCUCCUCUAGGGGUGAGACAGCAAGGGUGAGCUCACACAUGUUCAUUGCUCAACAAGUUGUGGGGAAUAAUGUGCAUAAACACACCAAAGGUGGGAGUUCAUGGGAUGUGUAAAGUUGAUCAACAAUGGGGGUUAAAGUUGAGCAUUGCUUUUAAUAAGUUGGUCAAAUUUUAUUAGCAGUUACUAAAUGUAAGUAAAUACCAAACCAUAAUAAUAAUAGUAGAACAAAAUUAAUAAAUAAUCCCAUGCAAUGCAAAUGACAAAUUGAAUUUAAGUUCCAUAAAUUAAUCAUGCGAGAGUCCUGAGCUGCUCAUGACCGUGAGCUUGGCUAGUAUACCAGUUUUAUACUCUGCAGAGGUUGUACCCUGUACCUAUAGGGUACAUUCGGGCCGCCCGGCCCAGCCCAAGCCCGAAAAGGCCCGUAUUGUUUAAAUUUCGGGCCGGCCCGACCCGUUUGAAUUUCGGGUCGUGCCGGGCCGGCCCAUGGGCCUAGCCCUUGGCCCACGGCCCGGCCCGUAAUUGCUUAAACGUGUCAGGCUUAUUUCGGGCGGCCCGAAAUUAUAAAAGCCCGAAAUUCAAUUUUUGGCCCGAAAUUCACAUUAGGCCCGAAAUUCAGUUUUUGGCCCAAAAUUCACAUUAGAGCCCUAAAUUCAGAAAAAUAAUAAAACAAAUAAAAGAUAAGACAAAUAAAUUUGAACAAAAUCAAACUUAAUAUUUGUAUUAAAGUUACCACAGCUAUGCAAUGACUACCUCGUUUAUAAAUCAUUUUGUUAGAAGGAAAAAGAGUAUAAUCAGCUCUAUACAAAGUUCGUAAGUUCAGUUUAUUGUCUAAUGUUCAUAACAAAAGUAAAAUUACAUCACACACUCUAAUUAAAAGAUAAAAAAAGAUCUAACUAGCAUUAUCUCUAGCUUUGUGUUUUUUAUCAAGUAUAUGUGUCGGCGUUUCGAACCCGGGGGGUCCCUGGACCGACGAGUAAAUUGUCGCCGCGUGCCCCAGCCUAGAUGGGUCGGCGUGAGACGGAGCGCGAAGGGGGGAGAGAAGCCAGAGGGAGACAGGCGUAAAAGGGGAAACCCACGGCCUUCGUGUUUGUCCCGCGCCCAGGUCGGGUGCGCUUGCAGUAGAGGGUUACAAGCGUCCGCGUGGGAGAGAGCGAGAGGCUUAUGCGCGUGCCGUCCCGUCCUUCCCCGCGCGGCCAACCCUCUGUAAGAGGGCCCUGGACCUCCCUUUUAUAGGCGUAAGGAGAGGGUCCAGGUGUACAAUGGGAGAUGUAGCAGUGUGCUAACGUGUCUAGCGGGGAGGAGCUAGUGUCCUGAGUACAUGCCGUCGUGGCAGCCGGAGAGGUUUUGGCACCCUGUUCGUGUGAUGUCGUGGCAGUCGGAGGAGCGCUGGAGCCUGGCGGAAGGACAGCUGUCGGGGCUGUCGAGUCCUUGCUGACGUCUCCUUGCUUCCGUAAGGGGGCUGAGAGCCGCCGCCGUCAUGGGGCAUGCGGGGCGCCAUCAUUACUUGUUUACCGGGGCGAGCCAGAUGGGACGUCGGUCUUGUUCCCCGUAGCCUGAGCUAGAUAGGGGUAGGGUAAUGAUGGCCCCUCCUGUGACGUGGUCGGUUCGAGCCCUGGGUUGGGCGAGGCGGAGGCUCCUCCGAGGUCGAGGUCGAGUCUGUCUUCCGAGGCCGAGGUCGAGUCCGAGCCCCUGGGUCGGGCGAGGCGGAGACCGUCGGCUGAGGCCAGGGCUGAGUCCGAGCCCUGGGGUCGGGCGAGGCGGAGUUCGUCGUCUUCCGGGGCUGAGCCCGAGUCCGAGCCCUGGGGUCGGGCGAGGCGGAGUUCGUCGUCUUCCGGGGCUGAGCCCGAGUCCGAGCCCUAGGGUCGGGCGAGGCGAAGUUCGUCGUCUUCCGGGGCUGAGCCCGAGUCCGAGCCCUGGGGUCGGCCGAGGCAGAGUUCUUCGUCUUCCGGGGCUGAGCCCGAGUUCGAGCCCUGGGGUCGGGCGAGGCGGAGUUCGUCGUCUUCCGGGGCUGAGCCCGAGUCCGAGCCCUGGGGUCGGGCGAGGCGGAGUUCGUCGUCUUCCGGGGCUGAGCCCGAGUCCGAGCCCUGGGGUCGGGCGAGGCGGAGUUCGUCGUCUUCCGGAGCUGAGCCCGAGUCCGAGCCCUGGGGUCGGGCGAGGCGGAGCUUCCUAUGGCGCUCGAGGCCGGACUUGGCUGCUGUCAGCCUCACUCUGUCGAGUGGCACAGCAGUCGGAGCGGCGCAGGCGGCACUAUCCUCUUAUCAGGCCGGUCAGUGGAGCGGCAAAGUGACUGUGGUCACUUCGGCUCUGUCGACUGAAGGGCGCGCGUCAGGAUAAGGUGCCAGGCCACCUUUGCAUUAAAUGCUCCUGCGAUACGGUCGGUCGGCGUGGCGACUUGGCCAAGGUUGCUUCUUAGCGAAGACUGGGCCUCGGGCGAACUGAAGGUGUGUCCGUUGCUGGAGGGGGUCCUCGGGCGAGACGUAAAUCCUCCGGGGUCGGCUGCCUUGCCCGAGGCUGGGCUCGGGCGAGGCGAGGUCGUGUCCCUUGAGUGGACCGAGCCUUGACUUAAUUGUACCCAUCAAGCCUUCGCAGCUUUGUGCUGAUGGGGGUUACCAGCUGAGAUUAGGAGUCUUGAGGGUACUCCUAAUUAUGGUCCCCGACAGUAGCCCCGAGCCUCGAAGGGAGUGUUAAUACUCGCUUGGAGGCUUUUGUCGCACUUUUUUGCAAGGGGACCGGCCUUUCUCGGUUGCGUUUUGUUCCAGCGGGUGCGCGCGAGCGCACCCGCCGGGUGUAGCCCCCGAGGCCUCGGAGGAGUGGUUUGACUCCUUCGAGGUCUUAAUGCGUUUCGUGAUGCUUCGGCCGGUGUGGUUGUUCCCUCAUGCGAGCUGGCCGUAGCCCGGGUGCACGGUCGGGUCCCAAGUUCUCGGGCUGGUAUGUUGACGCUGUCAACGGUUUGGCCGGAGCCGGGUUUGCGAGAGCAGCCCCCGAGCCCCUGCACAGAGCAAGAGGACGGUCAAGGACAGACUCGACUUUUUUACAUACGCCCCUGCGUCGCCUUUCCGCAAGGAGGAGGGGAGAGAAGCGCCAUGUUGCCCUUGGAGGGCGCCGAACAUGGUGUCUCCAGUGAGCUGCUGACGGGUAAUCCGAGUGGACGCCCGUGCCCCAUUUGUUAGAGGUCGGCUAGAGGCCCGGAGGCGCGCUCCAAAAGUACCUGCGGGUUAUCUGUCAGACCCGGUCCCCUUUUGAUGGGGUCUGAGGGCUCGAUGCCUCCCUCUGAUGGGAUUCCGUUACAAGAUCGUUCCCGCUGAUCUCGGAAAUGUCCUAGGGUACCUCGGGAGCGUAGCCCGAGCCUUGGUUAUGUAUCGAACGUACCCAGGGUCAUCCCUCGCUCUGCGUCUGAGGCGGCUGUGAACCCUUCGAGGGCCAGCCUACGAACCCCUGAUCAGUAGUGGGCGCGGAGCCCGAGUGGCCUGAGGCGGCCGUUGAACCCUUCCGAGGGGCCGGCCUUCGAACCUCUGACCAGUAGUGGGCGUUGAGCCCGAGCGCUCUGAGGCGGCUGUUGAACCCCUCCGAGGGGCCAACCUUCGAACCUCUGAUCAGUAGGGGGGCUCAGGGCCCGUUUCCUUUGCGGAGAAGGAUCCCUUUCGGGGUAUCCCCUUUCCCGGUCCCUGUUGUAAGAGAGAGAAAGAGGAAGAGGAAAAGGAUACGAAAAUCAAAUGACGUGGCAUACCUUUUUUGACGCGGUCAUUAUGGCGGAGGUGAAGCGUCGCCUGCUUCGCCCGCCAAAGGUGCCACCUGUCCCGCCGCAGAGUUAAUGCGACGGGACAAGUGGUUCGCGGGGCAGCCGUUGUGCGUGUGAGCCGUUCGAGGAACGGGUGUUUCGCUUUGAGUUUUGAAUCCCGCUGUGGGUUCGGGCGACGCGUUGAACGGGUCUCGCCUGGGUCUUUAUAUAUUCGGGAGAGGGACCGGUGACGGUUCUUUGCUCUGCUACUUGCCUCCUUCUUAGGUUUUCGCAACCCGAGGGAAUAGCCAGAGAAAAGGAAACCACCCACCCAGUCCUUUCCGCCGCCACCUCCUCUGCUUGGUGAUGGCCGACCGGGUGACCAUUGUUCCGCCGCGCGACCCGUGGCCUUUCUCCACCGUCACGGCGGAUGACCUGGAGGCCCUCGUCGCUGAGGGUUUACUUCGCCCUCUCUCCGAUGAGAGGCAGCCGGAGUGGAUGCCCCCCCCGAGCGGAGCCGCCCCGUCCCCGCCGCCGGGGUAUGUCGUGAGCUUCGUCUCCUUUCACGAACGGGGGUUUGGAGUGCCGGCAAGCCGUUUUAUGCGGACGAUUCUGCAUGUCUACAGGGUGGAGCUGCACAACCUCAGCCCUAACUCCAUCUCGCAAGCCGCCAUCUUCGCAGCGGUUUACGAAGGAUACUUGGGGAUUGACCCUCACUGGGACCUGUGGACUCAUUUCUUCUCCGCGGAGCUUUUUGCUUCGCCAACGGGGGAGAGAAGGGUCCACGCGGCAGUGCGGGCCGGUGGCUGCAUCCUCCAGCUGAGGCAGGCGCGGGCGCCGCAGUAUAUUCCCGUCGUCUUUGCGUCCUCGAACAAAGGGUGGCAGCGCCGGUGGUUUUAUCUCCGAAAUGACGACGAGAGGCUCCCGUCGUUUUCUCAGCGAGUGGUGACCGUCGCCGCCGAUGCCUGGCGCUACGGGACCCCGCACGACAGACAGAAGAAUCUCCAGCCCCUUCUGAAGGCCCUGGAGGUGUUGCGGAAAGGAGGGCUCACCGCUGCGGGAGUGGUUGCCGCCAUUCAUCGCCGGAGGGUGCUUCCCUUGACGGGGCGGCGGUUGCCGCUUUGGGAGAUGACGCCGGAGGCCGACUUGGAGGGUUUGCGAAUGUCCUCGGAUCCCUUUCCCGUCAACGACCUCUACGGGCGGGUAGCCGUCGCGUUGGGGAAACCGGACGCCGGCGCCCUUUCCCAGCCCUUGAUGCGUCCCGACCGCGGGUGUGUGUCCCUGGUGAGUGUCCGCUCCUUCUUUCUCCUUGCGUCGGAUUGCCCUUGGUUCUCACAGCCGAGACUUUCCGUCUGUCCCUAGGAGGUAGGGUGGCACAAGCCUUCCCGGCCACCGGUCCCGGAGGACGCGGUGGACCGAGCUACGCGGAGGGUUGCUGCGGAGAAGAGGAAGGAGAAAAAGGACACAAAGAAGGCUCGGGCCCGCGAGCGGAUGCGGGCUCGGGACGCCUUGGAAAGGCUCCGUCGUCGGCAGGAGAGGGAUGGGCUCCCGAGGGAGCCGUCGCCGGAAACGCCUGACGACGAUGACGAUGAAGACGAUGACGAAGACGACGAUAUGGCUGCUCGCCUUGGCCUCAGCCCGGAUCUGAGGCUGGGCCAGGAGUCGUCAAGCCAGCCCCCGAGCGGGCUGGCGCCGUCGGUUUCCGGGGCCGGGACGUCGGGGUCCCGGUCCGAAGAGCGGGGGCAGACCGAGGGGGUACUUGACCCCUCGGCUGGGGAAGUUGAGGUGACCCCGGGGAGUCAGGUCGAGCUGCCUGUUCCCCGAGAACCGUCGCCCGUGCCGGCUGCGCAGGAGGGCGAUCCUCAGGUCAUCGUGGCUGCGCCUGGGCAGUCCGUCUCUCGAGCGUCCAGGGCGCCCAAGGCGAGGAUGGUACCGAAGCUGGCAGCGAGGCAGACCUCGGCGGUACCUUCGGGGGUCGAGGUUCGAGAGACCUCCCCACAAGCACGAUUGAUCAUGGCCCGGAGUGGGUAAGUACCUUAGGAUGUCUUCGUCCUGGCUCCCCCUUUGUAUGUCCCGACCUUGACUUCCCUUUUUUCCUUAGCAAGCGGAGUCACGGUCCGACCGAUCUGGCUCCCCGGAAGGUCCUCAAGACGGCGUCGGCUUCCGCAGCUGGUGUCGCGCCGGGCCUCGCCGGCCAGCUGACCUCCUCGCAUGACGCCCCACAGCGGGGGGCUCAGGCGGCACCAGUUGCCGCGGAGCGAGCUCCCGAGGCUGGUUCUUCUGUCGAGGCGGCCAUCGCGCUGGGGGAGGCUGCUGGCGCGGCCGUGGCCUCGGGCCCACCAGACAUGCUGUCGGCGCUGGCGCCGGCCGCUGCCGAGGCCGUUGCCGUCCCGGCCGUGGAGCGACCCGUCGCCGUUGACGCUGAGAUGGCCGUGGCGUCACUACUUGGUGCCUCGGAGGAGGGGGGGCGCGGGACCACGACCCGUCCCGUCGAGCGGCAGCCUUGUCCCCGCGCGGCGCAGCUCCGAGGGGCGGCGCCAGUUGCUUCGGUUCCGGACCCGUGAGGCCUCGGAUCCCUUCUUCGUUCUUGACGAUGAGCGGGAGGAGCAGUCUUGGGACGAGCUCCGUGAGUGUGCCGAGGCAACGGUGGGGUCGCUCCGGUCAUCCUUGGAGGUCUUUUGCAGGGACGUUCCCAAGAUCCUCCAGGUAAUGAUUUCAGGCAUACCUUUCUCGUGAUCAAGGCGUCCUUUGUGACGCCCCGCUUCCUUUCCUCAGGAUCUGACGGAUCUGAGCGCCGCCAAGUCGUCGUUCAUCCGCCGCGAGGUCGAUGUCUGGGGUUCGCUGCGGUCCCUGAGGACCACGCUUGCCAGGGCUACUGCGCGCCUCUCCCAGCAGAGCGCCGAGGUGGCGGACCUUCGGUUGCUCUAUGCCGACCUGGGAGCAGAGGCAGCAGCGGCACGCGCAGAGGUGCAGCGACGGCAGUCGGAGCUUGACCAGGUCACCGACGAGCGGGACCAAUCUCGGGGGCGGGCCGCCGAGGCCGAAAGCCGGGCCGGAGCCCUUGCAGCAGACCUAGCCGUGGCCCAAGCCGCAUCCUCGGAGCAGCGUGCCCGAGCCGGAGGUAUGUCUUGGUUGUUUUAAGCUUUUGCUUCAGCUCGGUUCCUCAACUUGCGUUUGAGGUCUUACGCUUUGGCUGUUCGCAGAGCUCAAGUCUGCCCUUGAUAAGUCCACCAAGGCGCUUGCUCAGGCGGCCGAGCAGAGGGAGGCCGACCACGCGGCCAUGUCUGAUGCCAUCUCGGCUUUCUGUCGGGUCUUCGGCUUCGACGACGUCCCCUCGGGAAGCUCCCCUCAAAGUCGCCUGCAGGCCUUGGGUGACCACGCGCGUGGCAGACUCCGCGAGGCGCUACAUCACGACGUCAGGCGGGCCUUCGCCGUGCUUGCUUCCCACUAUGUCGUGGAUCUGGAGCGAGUCAGCGAGGGGUAUUGCCUCCCCGACGAAGAUGAAGUCGCCCUGGCCGAAGUCCAGAGGCUCGACGCGGCCGCCGCGGGCCCGAGCGCGGUGCUGGCAACCACCUUCGAGGCAGAGAUCCUCCCACUUGCGCCGUCGUCCGAGGCCGGGGCAGACCUUGCCGAGGGUGGGAACGAAGCCGAGGGCGCGGCUCCUUCUCCGGGCGACGCCUGACUCUGCCGGAGCAGUCUUCUUUGAAUGCACAUGUGUCUUUUGCGGCCACUGAGGCCCGAACACUUUAUUAUCGUAGUAUAAGGUUGUGUUCCUUUUCCUCCCGUUUUGCGUAUUUGGCCCCGUUCGUCAGUAGCAGGGUGGCUUGCCCAAGUAAGAGUCAUUUUUCGUGGUAGGUGACGAGUGAGGUAUCCGUAUCCCAGAGGCGUAGGAGUCCCUCGGCUCGGUCGGCCUUGCCACUUACAUGCGCCCUCAUUCGCUUCUUGGGGUCCUGCUACAGAUAUAGCCGGGGAACGCAGAAGCCUUUUUGAUGGAAGACUUUUUUCGAGGAAAAUUUUGACGCAGAGGGGGUUCCCCCCCUUUUAGCCCCCGAGGGAGGGUUGGGCUUUGCCGAGGCAAGGCUUACCCUUCCUUGAUGACUAGACUUUGUGUGUGAACGAGGUGUACGAACAACUUGAAAGCAUCUUAAGGGUAGAAGCGACGUAGUUGUCGGAUGUUCCAAGCGUUGUUGUAGACCUCGCCUUGACUGUUGGCCAGCUUGUACGUUCCGGGCUUCAGAACCUUGGCGGCGACGAACGGCCCUUCCCAGGGAGGCGUGAGCUUGUGCCGCCCUCGGGCGUCUUGUCACAGCCGAAGCACCAGGUCGCCCACCUGGAGGUCUCGGGAUCGAAACCCUCGGGCGUGGUAGCGUUGCAGGGACUGCUGGUACCGCGCCGAGUGUAGUAAGGCCAUGUCCCGAGCCUCUUCCAGCUGGUCCAGUAAGUCUUCUCGAUUAGCUCGAUUGCUUUGGUCGGCGUAAGCCCUCGUCCUCGGGGAACCGUAUUCUAAGUCUGUGGGCAAGAUGGCCUCGGCCCCAUAGACUAGAAAGAACGGUGUGAAGCCUGUGGCUCGGCUCGGCGUCGUCCUCAGACUCCAGACCACCGAGGGGAGUUCCUUCAUUCAUCGCUUGCCGAACUUGUUGAGGUCGUUGUAGAUCCGCGGCUUGAGUCCUUGUAGAAUCAUGCCGUUGGCACGCUCUACUUGCCCAUUCGUCAUGGGGUGAGCCACGGCGGCCCAGUCCACCCGGAUGUGGUGAUCCUCGCAGAAGUCCAGGAACUUUCUGCCGAUGAACUGGGUGCCAUUGUCGGUGAUGAUAGAGUUCGGGACCCCAAAGCGGUGGAUGAUGUUGGUGAAGAACGCCACCGCCUGUUCGGACCUGAUGCUGCUUAGGGGUCGGACCUCGAUCCACUUGGAGAAUUUGUCGAUGGCGACCAACAGGUGCGUGUAGCCCCCGGGUGCCUUCUGCAAGGGACCGACGAGGUCUAGACCCCACACAGCAAACGACCAGGUGAUGGGUAUCGUCUGUAGAGCCUGGGCGGGCAAGUGUGUCUGCCUCACGUAGAACUGACACCCUUCGCAGGUGCGGACAAUUCUAGUGGCGUCGGCCACCGCGGUCGGCCAGUAGAAACCUUGUCGGAAGGCGUUUCCAACAAGGGCUCGAGACGCUGCGUGAUGGCCGCAAGCCCCCGAGUGUAUUUCUUGUAAGAGCUCCUGGCCUUCGGCGAUUGUCGGCGUUUCGAGACCGGGGGGUCCCUGGGCCGACGAGUGAAAUGUCGCCACGUGCCCCAGCCCAGAUGGGUCGGCGCGAGGCCGAGCGCGAAGGGGGGAGGAAAGGCGGCCGGAGACGGGCGUGAGAGAGGUGGAAAUCCCGCGGCCUUCGUGUUCGUCCCGCGCCCAGGUCGGGUGCGCUUGCAGUAGGGGGUUACAAGCGUCCACGUGGGAGAGGGAGGGAGCGGCCUCACGCGAGCGACUGUCUCGUCCUCGUCCCCGCGUGGCCAACCCUCUGUAAGAGGGCCCUGGUCCUUCCUUUUAUAGGCGUAAGGAGAGGACCCAGGUGUACAAUGGAGGGUGUAGCAGAGUGCUACGUGUCUAGCGGAGGAGAGCUAGCGCCCUAAGUACAUGCCGUCGUGGCAGCCGGAGAGGUUUUGGCACCCGGUUCGUGUGGUGACGUGGCCGUCGGAGGAGCGCUGGAGCCUGGCGGAAGGACAGCUGUCGGGGCUGUCGAGUCCUUGCUGACGUCCUCUUGCUUCCGUAAGGGGGCUGAGAGCCGCCGUCGUUAGGGAGCGUGCGAGGCGCCAUCAUUGCCUAUCUGGCGGAGCGAGCCAGAUGGGACGCCGGUCUUGUUCCCCGUAGCCUGAGUCAGCUUGGGGUAGGGUAAUGAUGGCGCCUCCUGUCGACGUGGUCGGUCCGCGCCCUAGGUUGGGCGAUGUGGAGGCUCCUCCGAGGUCGAGGUCGAGUCUGUCUUCCGUGGCCGUGGUCGAGUCCGAGCCCCUGGGUCGGGCGAGGCGGAGACCGUCGGCUGAGGCCAGGGCUGAGUCCGAGCCCUGGGGUCGGGCGAAGCGGAGUUCGUCGUCUUCUGGGGCUGAGCCCAAAUCCGAGCCCUAGGUCGGGCGGAGCGGAGUUCGUCGUCUUCUGGGGCUGAGCCCAAGUCCGAGCACUGGGUCGGGCGAGGCGGAGUUCGUCGUCUUCCGGGGCAGAGCCCGAGUCCGAGCCCUGGGGUCGGGCGAGGCGGAGUUCGUCGUCUUCCGGGGCAGAGCCCGAGUCCGAGCCCUGGGGUCGGGCGAGGCGGAGUUCGUCGUCUUCCGGGGCUGAGCCCGAGUCCGAGCCAUGGGGUCGGGCGAGGCGGAGUUCGUCGUCUUCCGGAGCUGAGCCCGAGUCCGAGCCCUGGGGUCGGGCGAGGCGGAGCUUCCUAUGGCGCUCGAGGCCGGACUUGGCUGCUGUCAGCCUCACUCUGUCGAGUGGCACAACAGUCGGAGCGGCGCAGGCGGCGCUGUCCUCUUGUCAGGCCGGUCAGUGGAGCGGCAAAGUGACUGCGGUCACUUCGGCUCUGUCGACUGAAGGGCGCGCGUCAGGAUAAGGUGUCAGGCCACCUUUGCAUUAAAUGCUCCUGCGAUACGGUCGGUCGGCGUGGCGACUUGGCCAAGGUUGCUUCUUGGCAAAGACUGGGCCUCGAUCGAACCGAAGGUGUGUCCGUUGCUCGAGGGGGUCCUCGGGCGAGACGUAAAUCCUCCGGGGUCGGCUGCCCUUGCCCGAGGCUGGGCUCGGGCGAGGCGAGGUCGUGUCCCUUGAGUGGACCGAGCCUUGACUUAAUUGUACCCAUCAGACCUUUGCAGCUUUGUGCUGAUGAGGGUUACCAGCUGAGAUUAGGAGUCUUGAGGGUACCCCUAAUUAUGGUCCCCGACAAUAUGAAAGUGUGGAAUGAAGUGUGGUUUUAAUAAAUAUAUGGGCCUUUUCGUGCCUCUAUAUGGGCCUUUUCGUGCCUGCCUUAAACGGGCCGUGCUCGUGCCCGCCCAUGGGUCGUGACCUCGGCACAAACCCGGCCCGAUAUAACGGGUCGUGCCGGCCCGACACUAAAUUAUUUCGGGUCGUGCCGUGCUUGGGCCGUGCUUUUUUUCCGUGCUUCGGGCCGGCCCAUCAGGCCCGGCCCAAAUGUACACCUAUACCUGUACCCACAAGUCGUGUUACCCAUCUGCCAAGUGAUCGCGACUCCCAUACACCUCUACCAAGGAAGCGAGGCAGGGCAACAAUACGAGACCUUUACAAAGUUCCACUAGCUUCCAAAAACCCGCUAUAGUUUAUGGGAAGAGCACUUGCAAUCCCCCGUUUGACCGCCAUCGCAGCAAAAUCAACCCGAGAACCUCCUUGCAUGCAACUCCCCUACUGCCCUUGCCCCUUUCGGGUAAGAUAGUCUUCCACUAGCUUUCCUAAUUAGUCAGCCAAGGGCGUCCCAUUCCACCUUGUGGCGGCACGUGUUUCUCAAGUUAAGCUCCAUGUUCCAAUUAACAUUAAUGAUCUUGACAUGAACAUAAAUAGAAUAACAAAAUAAUUGGAAAAUGGAUAUAAUGAAAUAUUAUCCCAAAACCAUGUAAAGCAAUAGCAAAACUACCUAAGUGAUUCAGGGAUAACAAGGUAAAAUGGAUAAACAGACUAGGGUGACCUAUUGGGUCCCAUCAAAAUUAAACCUAUACAUGAAUAAUGACAUUAAAGAAUAUUAUUGGGUAUAAACGUGGUCAACGGCACAACUUGCCUCGGACUUGACAUUCUAGUUAACAGGGUGAUUCUUCAGAUCCUCAUGACCUCACUGCUAGUCGUAGCAAUACAAACAAACAUGGUAUAUACAAAAUUAACAUCACAACAAACAUAAGAAAAAACUGAAUAAUAAUGAUCUACGCGAAGCUACGAGAUCGUGAGAACGAGAACCACUAAAAUCGGAGUUACGGUUAAGGAGUUAUGAUUUUUAUAAAAGAUCUAUGUGAUUUAAAUAUUAAACCAUAUUAUAAUUUGGUUAGUAUAGAUAUAUGAAAGGUCAUUCUAUAAAUAAUUAUCUCAACUUAAAUCUAAGUUAGAAAUUGAUCAUAGAUCAUAUUUUAGUAGAUUAUAAUGCUAAGCACAUUAACAAGUCUAACCAACAUAAAUUAAAUAAAGAUCUAAAUAGAAAAGAAUGAGACAUGGUAUACUCAAUAUUGUUACUGCGUAGUAAAUACUUAUAUAAAACUAACGCAACUGGAAUGAAUCAAAUCGGAAUUCAAACGGAGGAGCUACGAAUUUCCUAGGUUUUAUGUACUUGAUAUAAGAUUAAUUAGGAAAUAAAUUUAAAGUGGAUUUCAUGUCAAAUCAGUAUCACUAUUUGAUAAACAAUAAUAUUAUAAAAUUAUAGGAAUUGGAAUGAAUUAACUUGAGCUAGAAUGGAUUUUCUAUGAAUUAACUAAAUUUCUGGAAUUAUUUUAACACUAAAAAUCAUUUUCUAAUUGACUUUCUGAAUUUCCUAUGAUUCUGGACCGCGCCGCAUAUUUUCUAAAAGAUCAGGGGUCAGAUUAAAACAAAAAGGACUCAGUUGUAAUGAUCUGUAUAUUAUUGAGGAUGACGGGUUGGUUUCCCCAAAACCCAGGGGCUUAUUUGCCAAAUUGCUCGGCUGAAGGGGUAUCCAAACGUUUGGGCCGUUGGAUCCAUGUCCGAUGGUUCGGAUUAGAUUGGGCGCUUUAUGAACCGGUACGUGUGAUUGACCGCACGAUCAUGAUCCAGUGGUCUAGAUCUUAUCAAUCCAAGUCUAAUCGCACACGUUCACAGCCAAUCCAAGGGACGUGGAUCACCAAGCCGAAUCGCUACAUCCCCUCUAAUCUCCAUCGUUCCCGUGCAAUCUGACGGCUAUCCACGCAUCUCACUCCGGCGAGAGUUGGCAGCCGCGCCGCCGGUCCCCUUGACGGCGACCUCACCGGAGACGUUCGAAUUAACGCCACAAAGCGCAAAAACUUAAUCAAGAACUGCUACGCGAUGACUAGAGGACGGUGAGUUGAGUGGAGGAUCAUACCGGGCUUUCGGGGCAAUGGACAGAUUGGUUCACGGCGAUAGAAGGCUUCUCGGCGGCGGAGAGCGUGGUUGAGGAACCCCACGGCCUCCCAGCUUUAGAUCCCGAGUGCCCAAACCCGCACGGACACGGUACGGCACGGUGAUUCCCCACGCAGUCUGCUGGCGCCCGGUGUCUGCAUGGACGGCGGAUGGUCGACGGCGGCCUGUUGUCCCGUAUGGUGAUGUCCGCCGGCGGCACAAAUUCGCGCGAUGUGGACAAGGGUGUAUGCGGUUAAGGGGGGGUGGAAUAACCAGGCGCAGGUCUUAUAACCGCGGCGCAGCUG